Molecule: long non-coding RNA, 558 nt
Filed under: Nicotiana benthamiana
Lineage: Eukaryota; Viridiplantae; Streptophyta; Magnoliopsida; Solanales; Solanaceae
Description: long non-coding RNA (NBEN_LNC010295)
Source: RNAcentral
CCAAACCUUCUGCAGAGGGGAGCCCCUGUAUUCUGGUUGCCAAACAUUCUGGAUGCUGUGUUGGAAUUGAGGCAGUUCCACAAUAUUUGUAUACAUUCUGAAUGGCUUGGGAUGUAACAGUUUAUGGCCACCAAUUUUGAUAAGAAUUGGAGAGUGACUAUAGACUCUAGUAGUAGAACCCUUCUUAUUUGUCCAAGUGUAGUGCCAACCCUUUUCUGUGAGAGGAGUGAGUUGCAAAACAUUUAUGGCAUCUCUAAACCCUUUAGUUUUAGCUUCAGUUACAGCGGAACCAAUUCUAUCUUUAGAGCUUAGGACAUUAUUGAAGUCACCACUAGUAACCAAGGGUCUUGACUUGGAAUAGGAAUGUUCAUCAGAUCAGUCCAGAAUUGGUUUCUUUGGUUCACAUUAUUCAGGGCAUAGAUGACACUAAAAUGAAAUCUAAUUUUACUAGUUGAAUCUUCAAUGAGGCAGUGCAUGAAUUGGUCAGUCAUUUGGGAGAUGGUAACCUGGAUAUGAGGUCUCCAGAACAGCCAGAUUCUCCCAUUCACAGCUUUAGAG